GACGAACGCUGGCGGCGUGCCUAAUACAUGCAAGUAGAACGCUGAAGAGAGGAGCUUGCUCUUCUUGGAUGAGUUGCGAACGGGUGAGUAACGCGUAGGUAACCUGCCUUGUAGCGGGGGAUAACUAUUGGAAACGAUAGCUAAUACCGCAUAACAAUAGGUGACACAUGUCAUUUAUUUGAAAGGGGCAAUUGCUCCACUACAAGAUGGACCUGCGUUGUAUUAGCUAGUAGGUGAGGUAACGGCUCACCUAGGCGACGAUACAUAGCCGACCUGAGAGGGUGAUCGGCCACACUGGGACUGAGACACGGCCCAGACUCCUACGGGAGGCAGCAGUAGGGAAUCUUCGGCAAUGGGGGCAACCCUGACCGAGCAACGCCGCGUGAGUGAAGAAGGUUUUCGGAUCGUAAAGCUCUGUUGUAAGUCAAGAACGAGUGUGAGAGUGGAAAGUUCACACUGUGACGGUAGCUUACCAGAAAGGGACGGCUAACUACGU
RNAcentral lists this ribosomal RNA (496 nucleotides) under uncultured bacterium. RNAcentral's name for it is "partial 16S ribosomal RNA". It matches the Rfam family "Bacterial small subunit ribosomal RNA", at positions 28 to 506 of the family's 1533-position model. The record is from RNAcentral.